UGUGUAUCUAUGGUCGGCACGUCUGGCAGCAUCUCUGGCUGCUGUUGAUCUUGUUUUUGGAGUAAAACACGGUGGAAGCUGAAUUAGUGAGGAUGACUCCUGCUCCUGUCAUCUCUAAGCUCCUCACACAUCUUUACCUGCACAUGAGGAAAAUCACUCCUGUAGAAUGCAGAUGUUCAGAGGGAGAUGAUGCCACAUCUGGUCCAGCAGAUGGAAGGUCUUGAAGUUCUCUGACUGGCCUCGACUGAAGAUGGUCGUCUCACUGGAUUUAAGGUUCAGAUUCUCAGUAACAAACUCCACCAAUGUGCCAACAGGGAAGCUUUAGGUUUAUUAAAUGUUGCUAUGAAGGUAUCGCUGUUUUUCUUUGUGAAUGCAAUGUGCUCCAACUGAAACUUGAAUUAGAACUUAGAAGUAAAUCCUUCCAUCUGAAAGGAUUUAGUUGCAUUAAUAACCUCAUAACAUUCUAAUUUUUAUUCCAGUCUUGGUUGGAAAUAGAAUCUGUAUUGAUUCAGGUAAAAACUGAACUUCACAGCAUGUUGAAGCAAAUUUACACUGUUUAUUCACCAACACUUUAUUUAAUAAAAGUCCCAUCUAGUUUUUUUAUGAGGAAUGUGAUGUUUUAAUUUCUCUGUGAAUAACUGCAGUCUAAUGCAACAGCUGGAGUUGUAACAUCUGUCCUGAUGUUGAUCAUGAAGUAUUGAUCAGAAUACUUAUGGUUAGCAGUCAUCCCUGAAGUUUUACAUUAAAAUCUUUACUUGUGUUGUGAACUUUGGUAAGAAGCAGAAACGUUAGCGUUGCCAUGGAUACAUGAGUGUUAAAUUCUGUCCAUGUUUCCAUUUUGGGAAAUGCAGUCCAGUUCCAGAAUGUGGAGGAAUUUAGUCUCACAAUCACAGACAACAAAUAUUAUCUGAAAGUCGGGUUAUUGUUGUUUAUCAGCACAAUACAAAAAGAUUAAUAUAAGAAAUAUUCCAGUUAAGAGUCUAGAAUAUCAUGAUUUAUGUAAAUUUACCUCAAUAAUAUGAAUGUUCAGGUUAAGAUUGUGCAGUGAUAUUUAUUAUGUAAGUUUAGCUGAUUAAAGUUUAUGACUCUGCACUAAAAUAUUAUUUAAAUUGACAUCAUUAUUAUAAUAUUUAGGGUCAGACCCUACAGUAUUGAGAUUAAGAAAUCAAAUAUUCUAUAAAAUGUAAAUACGCUGAACUCAUUUGGAUAUAUUUAAAUGAGACUCUACAAUAUUAUUUGACACAAAUCUAUCUACAUCAAAAUUUUUAUAAUUUUCACGCCAAGCAUUUACUGGACUAAUUUAAAUAUUAAAAUCACUCCUUUCUAAUCUUCUGCUGUACGUUCAAACCUGAGGCCUUAAAUAGAAACACACAAGUAUCUGUUUGAAGGAAUUUCUGCAGAGUCCUGGUUCCAGAACAUGAUGAUAGAAUUAUAGACAAACUUUAACAAAAGCUGCCUGAGAGUUUACAGGUUUUUAUGCUGGAUUUCUUCAGUAAUUUAAUGAGCGUUAUCAGCAAUAAUCAAGUGUUCAUUUGAUGAACUUCAUUUCCUAAAACAUCCAGAAUUGGAGCUCAUAUCUUUGGCAGCUGUAAAGUUUCUGCUCCUUCAAAGUUCACAACACAAUGAAUGAAUUCCUAAAACACUCUCAAUGCUGGAGAGCGUUUGUGAUGCUGAAGCAGUGAUCAGUUUUUCUGUUUCUUCUCUGGAGAUGCACAACGAGGGACGUCUGCAGAGACUGAGAAAGAGUCUCACCACAUCCUGACAUGAGGAAAAAGACUUUAUUGAAGACUACAAUGAGAAAAACUAUCAGACAGCAGACGGCUGCAUUCAAGGUGAGCUCUGAACAUUUGAUCUGGAACAGGAAUUCAGUAACGGCAGCAUGAGCUUCAUUUCAGUCUGUAGCUGCUGAAUUCAUGGAUGAAUCAUCUGGCACUAGAGAAGAAGACCAUCAAACAUCCACGUCAGCUGAUGGAGGUCCAAGAGUCUCACCAAACAACCUACAGAGUGAAGACCUCAAAUCUGAUUGGACGGCCUCCUAUUCAGCCACAUGUGUGAACAAAUGCCUCUAAGUUGAUUUGUUUUCUAAAAUAAAUCUACUUUGAGUCCUAAUCUA
Molecule: long non-coding RNA, 2113 nt
Organism: Amphiprion ocellaris (clown anemonefish)
Lineage: Eukaryota; Metazoa; Chordata; Actinopteri; Pomacentridae
Exons: 3
Source: RefSeq, a predicted model, not a curated record